AAGUCGUAACAAGGUUUCCGUAGGUGAACCUGCGGAAGGAUCAUUAACACGUAUCCAAACGUUAAAACCCCCCCCGUGAACCUUCAUCCUGCUCUUGUAACCCGCGUAGUUCGCAAUCUCUGAUAAAUCAUAGCCCGGAAAGUUGUAGUGAUUCAGAGACCUCUGGCUACGUGCGAACAUUGGAACAGUUACACUCGAAAAGUGUCAUUGAUUGUGCAAGGAUAGCGCUUCUACGAUUCCUGUAGACCGUACACUCGGGCAGGAGCUUUGCCAAAGGGUCCCCAUGCCCACAAAUAACCCCACAGUUUAAUGUGAAGCUCAAUGUAAUACAUUGGGUAAAAAAACCGAACAACUGUUAACAAUGGAUAUCUUGGUUCUC
Molecule: unclassified non-coding RNA, 379 nt
Filed under: fungal sp.
Lineage: Eukaryota; Fungi
Description: partial internal transcribed spacer region
Rfam family: Eukaryotic small subunit ribosomal RNA (bases 1-46)
Source: RNAcentral